This is a long non-coding RNA of Triticum dicoccoides, 1087 nucleotides long. RefSeq lists it as uncharacterized. The record is from RefSeq and is a predicted model, not a curated record. The transcript has 3 exons. NCBI's taxonomy places the organism in Eukaryota, Viridiplantae, Streptophyta, Magnoliopsida, Poales, Poaceae.
CCGCCCGCUCGCCCCGCCAAAAGAAAAAAAGGACUUCCGUCCGCUCCUCCUCAUCCAUGCCCGCACACCAGUCGUUCCCCACAGCACGGGCGGGCCGCCCAUCCUCCCGCCGCCUCCUGCCGUUCGCCGCUCGCAUCAUCCUCCUCUCAGCUUGGCCUCCCCCAUCCUCGCGUCGUUCGCUAGCCGCCCUCCCGCCGUAUGCCGUUCGCUAGAGAUGCGGGCGGACGGUUGGGCUGGCGAGCGGUGGUAGGUUCGUCACGCGACAGGUCGCCUGGGAUGCUAGCCGAUGGAUGCGGGUCAAGCCGACUCGGGCGGCGGCGCAUCUUCGGUAGAGGAGAGGGGAAAAGAAGGAGAGUCCUGGGGGCGGCUGAGGAGGUGCUCGCCGGCGAGCGGGCUCCGACGGCCGCCUGGCGCGCGGGGUUGGAUGGGGGCGUUUCCCGGCAGUCACGGCCGUCCUCGCGACACCAACUAGCCGAAAGCAUCGCCGCUCCCCGCCGCCCGCCGACGCGACGUCGCCUGCCCCUCCUACCCAUGCGACAAUGUUGCUCCUCGGCUCCUCCCCGCGCGACACCGCCUUCCCCAAGAGCGCCCACCCUGUCGUCCUCCUACUCCUCAGUGCCUCCUUCUCGCCUGCCCGCAACACCUUGCCUUGCAGCGGCGCCUGACACACGCACGACCCACACUAGAGCACGCCGCCCCUCGCUGCCCGGUUUUCUUCUUUUCCGUCGCACUGUGCGAAAUCUGCCCCAUGCUCGGUCUGGAUCUACAUAAGCGACUGAGAGAGAGAGAGCACAGCGAAGACGCACACUGUGGAUUGUGGAAGAGGAAGAGAACAUGCUGUUGGAUCCGAGCACCUGUCGGAGGAGCAUAGGCAUAAGGAGGCAUCCAUGAGACAAGUUUUUUUAAUUCGUAUUUCUAUGUCUGCAUGAUGACAUUAGUUAACUGGUAAUAGUUCGAUGUGGCGAUUGUUAACUUGUUCCAACUGUGAAAAAUGGUAGUUGUUGCCGGAUGAAUUUCUGGUCUCGCACCUCCUUAUUUUUGGUCUUGCACCAUGGACGGCCUGAACGGCGCUGAUGCGUGCUUCUCC